Molecule: ribosomal RNA, 468 nt
Filed under: uncultured bacterium
Lineage: Bacteria
Description: partial 16S ribosomal RNA
Rfam family: Bacterial small subunit ribosomal RNA
Source: RNAcentral
GACGAACGCUGGCGGCGUGCUUAACACAUGCAAGUCGAACGGAAAGGCACUGCUUUUGUGGGGUGCUCGAGUGGCGAACGGGUGAGUAACACGUGAGUAACCUGCCCUUGACUUUGGGAUAACUUCAGGAAACUGGGGCUAAUACCGGAUAGGAGCUCCUGCUGCAUGGUGGGGGUUGGAAAGUUUCGGCGGUUGGGGAUGGACUCGCGGCUUAUCAGCUUGUUGGUGGGGUAGUGGCUUACCAAGGCUUUGACGGGUAGCCGGCCUGAGAGGGUGGCCGGCCACAUUGCGACUGCGAUACGGCCCAGACUCCUACGGGAGGCAGCAGUGGGGAAUAUUGCACAAUGGGCGGAAGCCUGAUGCAGCAACGCCGCGUGCGUGAUGACGGCCUUCGGGUUGUAAACCGCUUUCGCCUGUGACGAAGCGUGAGUGACGGUAAUGGGUAAAGAAGCACCGGCUAACUACGUG